Non-coding RNA from Callithrix jacchus (white-tufted-ear marmoset), 986 nucleotides. The record is from RefSeq and is a predicted model, not a curated record. Lineage: Eukaryota; Metazoa; Chordata; Mammalia; Primates; Cebidae.
GGCUCCUGGUCACCCUGGCCCGGGUCGGGCGUCGCCUCCCCGGCGCGGGCGGCCUGGCCGAGGGACGAGGGUCAGUGGACGGACGGCGCCAGGGCAGUGCCCACGCGCGGCAGAGCCGUACCUUCGGGCCCCCAGAGGCUGGGGCUGGCCCUAUGGGCCUCUGUGCUGGGUUUCUUCUCUGCACUGCAAGGCUGGCUCUUCUGACUUCUUCCAGGUGUGAUUGAGCACCCUUGCACUUGCUGUCACCCUGUCUGUCUGCAGGAUCCCCGGUUCCCCUUCAGGGACGGAAAUGAGUCAGAAAAUAGGAAACGUGUUUGUCUGGGAUGGAGCCCUGACCCUGUGCUCACACUUAAGGAGGAAGGCUCAGCAGGCUGCCUCCCAGAAUGGGAGGUUCCCAAGCCAGCCGUACUUCUGAGGUGCUGCAAUCAGGGCUGCAACUGCAUCCUGUUCUCAGUGAAGUAGAAUGUGCUCAAGCCAAUGAAGAAAAGGUUUUUGGGUUUGUUUGGUUUUUUUUUUUUUUAGUUGGAGUCUUGCUCUGUCGCCCAGACUGGAGUGCCGUGGCAUGAUCUCGGCUCACUGGGUUCAAGCGAUUCUUCUGCCUCAGCUUCCCAAGUAGCUAGGAUUACAGGCACCCAACACCACGCCCAGCUAAUUUUUGUAUUUUUAGUAGAGAUGAGGUUUCACCAUGUUGGCCAAGUUGGUCUGGAAGUCCUGACCUCGUGAUCCUCCCACCUCAGCCUCCCAAAGUGUUGGGAUUACAGGAAUAAACCACUGUAUUUUUUUUUCAGAAGCCCUAGAAGCUAGCCACUGUAUUUUUUAAAAUUAGAUUGGCUGAGCAAGGUGGCUCAUGCCUUUUACCUCAACACUUUAGGAGGCGAAGGAAGGAGGAUCACCUGAGACUGGAGUUCAAGACCAGCCUGGGCAACAGAGUGAGACUGUCUCUGAGAAAGAAUUUUAAAAAUUAAACUAUUCAGCCUUUGUCAGUG